UUUUGAUUUCAUUUUAAAAAAAUUUUUUUAUGGCCCAUCUAAUGUUUCUUUUUUGGGAACUCAAAAUUCUUGAUUUGUGACCCAUACUCAUGAAGUUGGAAAUAUAUAUAUUUUUUGAUAGGUCAUGAAGUUGAAGAUAUGCAUUGUGCAUAUGCUUCUUGCUUCUCUUUUCUCCAAUUUAUUGUACAAUCUUACUUUACCAUUAUGUUAAUUGCAAUGAAUUGUCAACCACUUACAUCUUAGUGAAAAUAAGUGUUUCUAAUCAAAUUAAUCAUUAAUCAUAUGGUAGACCUAUCUGGUGUCAGUGAGGAGUUUUUAAUGCAAUGGUUCCAUAAAGUAGUGACUUCCUAUUAGUUGUAUCUGAUCUGCUUAAUGUAAUAUGUAUAUGACAGCUACAUACAUAAUUUGCAAUAGAAGGUGCUAUUAUGUAUGGAAAAGAGUAACAUUAGGAAAAAGAUAUUGAGAGGACCUUGGUGCUCUAAGGGUAAUUUGUCCUGUUAAAAAUAAGUUACGCUUUAAGCUGGGAAAACACAAAUAGUGCUGUUGGUCAAAAAUCAGUAAUCUCUAGUGAGUUAUUAUGAUGUAAACUUGUGCAAAUUGCAUAAAAGAAUCUAUUUUGUAGGGAAGAAAAAAUAAGAUUGCUGAGCCUUAUCAUUGCUAAAAGAGAUGGAUCAUGUUACCCCAUCUGUUUCAUAGCCUCUGGGUCCUAUUUUUGUAGGAAUUCUCGUUAGAGUCUUGCAUUGCAAUCCAUUGUAGAAUCUCUUCUACAGAGUUAUGGUUGCAAAUAUUAAUGUGUAUUAAAGGGAGCAUUACACGAUUAAUUUUGGUCACUUUUCGUAAAUUUUUCCCAUCUUUCAAACCAGAAAACUCACAUGGUGCCAUUAUGUGGUUUUACUGAAAGCAUUAUGUUCUCUAAGUUCCAUUUCCAUAUCUUUAAAAAGAAAAUCUCAUGCAAAACAUGAGUAAAUUGUAUUUCAAUGUAUCAUGUAAGGAGUAGCCUAUGGAAGGUCUUAUAUAUUCUUGAUAAUUUGAUGUAUAUUCAAUAUAACUUCAACAUGGGUGGUCAUAGAGCUAGGAAUAAGGAGCCAAUAUCAUGGUCGGACGAGAAUGAACACUCUUUUAUCAAAAUUCUUUAUGAGAAAGUGAAAUGAAAUGCAUUGCAAUGUUCUACAUUCAAGAAAGACGAAUUGGGCAGGAUCAAUGAAACCAUGAUAGCUUCAACAAAA
RNAcentral lists this long non-coding RNA (1226 nucleotides) under Olea europaea (common olive). RNAcentral's name for it is "long non-coding RNA (OEUR_LNC013645)". The record is from RNAcentral. Lineage: Eukaryota; Viridiplantae; Streptophyta; Magnoliopsida; Lamiales; Oleaceae.